Molecule: long non-coding RNA, 4767 nt
Filed under: Solanum tuberosum (potato)
Lineage: Eukaryota; Viridiplantae; Streptophyta; Magnoliopsida; Solanales; Solanaceae
Description: long non-coding RNA (STUB_LNC005263)
Source: RNAcentral
AUGUGAUUUAAGCAGAAAAUAAACAUACACUUCAUGCAUAUCAUGUUCCUAAUGUUCUUCAGAUUUGUCAAUUUCCGAUGAAGUAGAUCCACUCUCCUCUGAAUCACUGUUUAUGACUUUUUUCUUACUUCCUCCUUCAACAAUUUUAAUGCCACUAGCCUUCACGUUGUUGAUGACUUUCUGAAUUGUCAUUGGGUCAUUUUUUUCUUGGAUCUCAAUUCUUCAAUAGAUUGUUCAUCUUGAACUUUUUUAGAUUUUGCCAUAGUACAUUGAUCUCAAAAUCCUGAGUUAAACCCAUUGAAAACGAAGGUGGAUUGUCAACAACAUUGACAUGCAAUGACAUACCAUACCUCUCGUAUGGAGAUGAAUCAUCCAUUUUGAUUUUCAAAAACUUAUAAUUUGAUAAGAAAGAAAGAUUUUAUUUUUAAAAAAAAAAUAUGAAAAAACUAGCAAGCAUAAUACAUAUACAAUUGAUGAAGAAGGAAAAAACAAAAAAAAUGGAUUCACCCACAAUUUUGACGGUUACCUGCGAAAAUUGAAAGCACGACUGGAGGGAGGAGGUGAAAUUUACUCAAUUCAAAAUUCAAAUUAGAAGUGGAAGAGUGAUUUUAGGAGAAAGAUAUAGAAUGUGGAUAGGAGAGAGAAAAUUGAUUCUGUAUAAAAUUUAGAGCCGUCAAUAUGGGCUAGGCCCGUUGGGUCGGCCUGGCCUAACCCAAAAUUUAAUAGGGCUGGGCUAAGAUUUUUAGAGCCCAUUUAAGAAAAGGGCUUUUUAGCCCGGCCUAAAUAAGCCUGCUAAUUUGUGGGGCUUGAGAAAUAUAGGUAGGGCCGGCCCGUGGGACAAAUAAUAAAAAAAAAAAACAUAAUAUAAUAUUAAAUUUAAAAUUAAAGAGAGUCCAAAGUCAAAAUCUAUUUAAUAUUUAACUAAUUGAAACCGCAUAUAAAUUGCAGAUGAAAAUUCAGAUGUUAAGACAACCUUGCCACAAGCUAAUUCAGAUAUGCUUGAUGAAGAUGAUCAUGAAGUGUUGGAUACGCCAUAGAUUUCAUGAUGUGUUAGAUACGCCAUAAGUUUCAUAAAUUUUUUUUAAGGAGUUUAUUUUUAACUUUUUUUAUGGUUGGAAUAUUGUCACAUUUUUUGUGUUUUAAUGUGACAAAACAAUUAGGUUAAUAUUUCUAUUUAGAUAUUUAUACUUUUAUUUGAAAAAACCUUAAUAAAUAUUAUAAAGAUAAUUUUAUUUGUGGAUUUGAUUAACAAGUAGUAACAUUAACACCAUGUAAUAUUGUUUUGUCGCUAUUUAUGAUAAUAUUUUUAAAUUAUAAUUUAUAAUUUAUUUUAAUAAUUCGACCGUUUAAUAUAAUUUUAAAAAAGUGUGCUGGGCCGGCAAGCCUGUAGCACACGUACUUGUGGGCUGGGCCGACCGUUUUCUGGCCCACACCAAAAAUGGGCUAGCCCGACCUGACCCGUAAAAUGUCAAAGCCUGUAUGGGUUAGCCCGGAUGGGGUGGGUUAGCUCAUAUUGACAGCUCUAAUAAAAUUAUAUACAAAAGCAUAAGAAGGUCUUUGUUGGUUCAGUAUAGAAAGAGGUGGUGGGUCCCAUUAAUUAUGGCAAAAAAACUGAAACUAUAAUUACUGACAGUAAAUAAAUUAAACUAUACCCUUAUUAAUUAAUUACUUAGGGAUGUUUGCCAACUCACGUAAUUUUCCCUUCAUAAAAUUAGAUAGCAAACCCGUUAACAUGGGCUCAUCCACAAAGCAUAUCGAGAAAAUGAGCCCAUUUAUAAAGGAAGCCCAAUACGUAUUGGGCCAACCGCAGCGAUUAACAGAAAAUUGGGUCCAGCCCAAGAAGCAAAAUACGCACUAAUCUACUGCAGAAAUGGUGAUUGAUAUACACAAAUCUGUAACGCUAUCUAAAAGGUCUAUAAUUUUAUUUUAUGUUAAAACGAAGGAUCAUUUACUAAACAAUUAUCUCGGAAAAGGGAUAACCCGAGAGAGUUUUUCAAAAGUGUUCCCAAUCUCGCUUUAAUAGUAUUCUCUUAACAAUAAUUCUAAUUCGCAAAUGCAAAGCUUCUCUAAUUAUUAUAUUUUUUGUGAGAACACAAGUCUUUUUCUUCUUUUAUUAUAAUUUUUUGUGAAAUAUUCUUGAAGAUGACCUCUUAAUUGAUACGUCAUAUUCAUGAAGAAAAUAUGAUGCCCUGCCAAAUAAUGCAAACUUUAUGUGUGCAAAAUGACAAAAUUUUGGUACCAACCACUCCUCAACCGUACUACACUUUAACAAAGAGAAAAAAAAAACGAAGAAAUUACGAAUUCCUAAUAUAAGUAAAUACAUUUACGCACGCGAUAUUUAUAUAAAUUUAUUAUAGAAAACGUAUUACCUUUGAAAUUGGAAUCUUCUAUACAAAUUAAAAUUGGUCGUCAAAUCACAAAGCAGAUAUCAAACAUCUUUGCGUAGAAAAAAAAAAGAACAUAGAUUAAACUCGAAACCCAAUCAUUGGGACGAAGAUUUCUUCUUUACUAAAUAAUUAAGUGAAUUAAUAAUUUUUGCUCUUUUUUCCCACUUGAUAUGUACAUAAAAUACACUAAACAUGAUACUAUAAAAUCUACAACUAACUAAUUCUGAUCUCAACUAAUCCUAAAUCCUAAUUAAUAACUAAUACCAAUUAAUUAAUAGCUAAUCAAACGUCACCAAGUAGCAAUAUUAGGAUUAAAAGAAGGCAUAAAAAUCUUUUGGCCGGUUGCUAAUAUAUGCCUUGGAUCAAACUCUAAUUUUCUUUGUUGAAAUCUUGUCCAAUAUUUUUCUCCAAAAUGGUCCCUCCAUUCUCUUUGAUUGUCAUAAUGAGGCAAAUAUUGUUUCACAUUGAUCUUUUCAUCCUCACAAAACUUCAAUAUUUCAUAAUUUUGAUUACUUAGGUAAUCCAACGUUUGUGUCUCAUCACCAUUCUCCAAUGCAGACCUCAAAAACGCGACCAAGUAAAACACAUCUUCUUCUGGUGUAACUACCGAACUCCUAUCGUCCCAUCUGAAAUACACAUGAUUUUUCGUAAGCGAUAAUUUUUUUUAAAAAAUGAAUAAAUUUGUCGUAUUAAUUGGACUAUAUGGUACUAGAAGAUGAUUUUCGAAUAUUCAUGAGUUGUUUUUUUAAUGAGGUUAGGAAGUAGUAACUGUUACAUAAGCCAAAUAAAAUUGGUCCCCUUAAGGAGGAUCUUCCUGACAAGAUCUUGAAUGUUUAAUUUGGACCAUUUCUAAUUAUUAUUGGAUUUAUUUGAAAAUUAAAAAAAAGUUCUAAUUAUCCUAGCUGGAAAAUCAUGCAUGUGUGCCACGUGUUUAGGUGGACAUGCCACAUAUCAUACGACAACGGAAAUAAACCACUGACCACAAAGCAUUGGAGUAGGAUCUGUAGACAGUCGUGGAGUCAUAAUUUUUUUAAAAAAGGUUAUAAAUAUAAAAAAGUAAAUAUACGAAUAAACGAAGGAGUUUAACACCUAUUAUGUAUACAUAAAUUAGUGAUAUAUGUUCUAUCAAAGGAAACUCGAAUGAACCUCUAAACCUAGCUCCGCCCCUAUAUUUAGAGGGUCAAGGUUUUUGGUACAUUUUUCUUUAAGAGUAAUGUUCAAAGCAGACAAUAUCAUAUAUUAUUAAAUGUAUUUUUGAACUAUUUUAACUUAAUAAUUCAUAUAUAAUAUAACUCCAACUCAACACGUCAAUUAUAUUCUCAACUCGACUCCUACUUUAUUGACUUUGUCUUUAUUCCUAUAUUGGAUUCGUUGCUAUUUACUAGACAAAAUUAUUUUACUGUUUGUUUGGUAGCUAGGACAAAACAAAAUUACAGCAAAAACUCUGCACGAAAAAGUAGAAACUGAGGGAUCACUUUUAAGCCAUUUAGAAAGGUAGCUAGGGACCAUUAUUAACAAAUGGACCAUAUACUAUACGAAUGUUUGUUGAAAAAAUUGAUUUUUUUACGUAUUUCGUAAUUUACGAUAAAAUUGAGAAAAUUGGGUGAGAUGUCUGAUGAACAUAUAAUCCAAAUUUGUGAGUAGUAUUCCAUGACAUGACAUGGACAUAUCACUAGUUCUACAAAAGUUUGUGUCAUGAUGAUGAGUAAAUUAAUGGCACAACAAAGUAUGUAUAUAGUAUAUUCAUAUUCAUUAUACAUAAAUCAUAUACAUAUAGUGUUUUGUUGCAUGCAUGCAAGGACAAUCAACGUAAGAAACAGACAGAGGUAGAUGACUGUACAAAUAUAUCAUGCAUGUCAACAUAUAUAUUAAUAAAUACUAAUUGAGUGUUUUUUUCCAAACAGAUUAAGUUUUUAGAUGAUAUAGUCAUACAAUUCAAUCAUACAUAUUAUUGUUGGAUUUAACCCAGUAUAUUGUGUUUUACUAUCAUCAUAUUAUAACAUGUUGCAAAAGAUUACCUAUAUGAACGAACAACCACACAUGCUUUAUACUAGUUAUGAAUGUGACAGAACUGAGUAGUUUUGGUCAAAUUUCAUACUUAUAUAUAUUAAAAAUCUACUUAACUCAUUCAGAAUUCGCUAAAUUGUCCUUUUUAAUGUUCAGAACUUAUUAUAAAUUAAAAAUUCUGAAUUGGAGUCAAGGGUAUAAAAGUAAAUUUACAAGGGACGAGAACUUACUUGUUUUUGUUCAUAGGGUAUAUGAGUAUUGGACCACUAGUUUUGUUUCCCAAAAUGCCCUUAAAUACUCCUUUAUCAAACUCAGCAAUUCUUGAUUUUGGUACAAAUAAGUUUAGCCAUGGAUGUGGCACUUCCCAUAAACC